This is a long non-coding RNA of Lagopus muta (rock ptarmigan), 23433 nucleotides long. RefSeq lists it as uncharacterized. NCBI's taxonomy places the organism in Eukaryota, Metazoa, Chordata, Aves, Galliformes, Phasianidae. The record is from RefSeq and is a predicted model, not a curated record. The transcript has 5 exons.
UAGCACAUGUAGUAUUAGAAUCUACUAGAAAAAAAUGUUAUUUUAUUUUUCUAUUUUUUUUUCUAUUCUAGAUUUUAUUUUCAGUGGCAUUGAGGGUUGAUAGGGCCACAGGAGGAAGGCCCAAAGACCACUCUUCAUUAAUGGCACAUGUCUGUUCCAUCCAUAAACAGAGAUCUACAGGGUGUCCUGAGAACUGUUGAUUAGCAAGUCUGAUUUCCAGUCCUAGUAAGGCAGUUUAAUCUGUGAUGAAGAGAAAGAACAUUGUGCUCUUAUGCCCGUCAGCACACAGCAAACAUGAUGCACAGGGCACAGACUGAGUAGCUCCAUGGAAAUCAGCAGACAUCACAGAUCCCCUGAGGAGCUCAGUUGAUGUUGAGAGCUUAUUUCACCAACAGGCUGAAAUGAUUCAGAAUUCUCCUGGCCUGGAAUACAAGUCUUGCGAUGAGUGGAUAUGGGAUCUGGGAUUGUUUAUUCUAGAAAACAGGAGGCUCAGGACAGAUCUUACCACUCACUCUGCAAUGACCUGAAAGAAGGCUGUAGCAAGAAAUCUAUUAACCAAAGAGUCUGGAGCAGUCACUCAUAAAGUACUGAAGACCAAAUUCACCAAUAUUGUAUUUGAAGAUGAAACUCAGACCAGUUUGGACUCACAACUGGAUGUGUAAGGACACAUUCUUGCAUUCAGAUGAGAUAGAUGGAAUGAUUUUCGGCAUUGCUCAUGUACUUUGGGCAUGGAAGGUGGACUUCAAAGUGAAAGUAUAUCUGCUCAGCAUCUUCUCAUCUGUGAGGCUGACACAUGCCACUUGGAGAACAAAAGUGACUUUAGGAAGGAAUGACACUAAUUUUCAAAAAUCAAAGCCUUAAGCCUGCAUUCCAUAUUUUUAUGCUGACAAGUCAUUGACAAGAGUAUCAAGAAAUGGAGGCCACAACAAACCUACCAAAUUCCCUGCAGAAGGAUACCUGGGACAUAAUCAGGAUGAGUGAGUACUGAUGCAGUGUAGGCAUGUGAAGAAAUACUAAGGGAUUCUUAUCAGUAGACCUUUAAGAAUUGUCAUUGCUCAAAACACUUUGUUGACCUUGAUGCAUAAAGCUAUACUGCUUUAUCAAUAUGAAGGGGGGGAUUUCACAGACUGUAGUCCAGGCAAAUGCCUUGGAUACUUUGAAGAAUGAAAAUGAAGAGUGACCAUAUCUUCUGGGGUCAACCUGAGACUGCAUUUCUGACUCUUUCUGAAUUGGCUAAGCACUCUUUCUUGAUAGAUCAGCUCAAUAGUGAAGAGGUGAUAGGUGGAGACUCCAAUUUUUUUUUAUGGCUUGGCAAGGAAGGCCCAAAAAUUACUUUGGACAGCAAAUGUGAGACAAAGCAGACUAUAUGAGGAAAGGAAAAGCCUCACCUUUUAUUCACGCUUAUUGUAAAAAGGUUAUUUAUGGGCUAAUAAGUAUGGACUAAUUUAUGGACUAAUUCAUCAGUACCUGAUGAAUGACAGCCACUUGACUCGUAUAAUCUCUGUCCUUUAAUGUGAUCCAUGAAUGAAGAUUGUGAACUCAUGCAACGUCUCAUUAAAGAUCUGCUAAAAAGAUACUGGAAAAUUACAGAAGUUCAGAUUGGAAGAUUACAAGCACACCUAUGCUUAUGCUGAUCUGAAACUAAAGUCAUAUAUUUAUUACUGUAUAUCUUAUGGAAAUAAUGGUGGUGUUAUUUGUGAGUAGUUUCUUAGUUAUACUAAAUUCUGGUUUCUUAGAAAUACUUCCUUUGUAAAUGAUGAGCUAACACUGAGGGGAAAAAUGCUAUUAUGAUUUUAUGGCAGCCAAGAGGUAUUAUUUAAUGCAAAAACCAUUAGCACAAGGUCAUAAUUAUGCAGUCACUUGAAAUGCCCUCUUUUAAGAUACUCUGAAAUACUGUUUACUUUCUUUAAAAACUCAUGACUAUGUAUCUUAAAGAUAGAAAUUGUACAUAUACCUGUAUUUACUUAUUUACAUUUCAAAUUAUAGAAAUUUCUGUCCAAAACAGCAGGGUUUCUUCAUAACUAUUCAUGUUUCCAACACAGGAGGACAAAAGGAGAAACUCCAAAGGAAAUACAAAGGACUUUUUAGGUCUCAGGGAUAUUUUCUCAGUCAUUACCAUUAUCCUAAUCCUUAGAAUGAAAAGAUGUAAAGCACAAACAGGAAAAUGAAGAGAAAACAAUACAGUUCCUCUUGCAUAUUAUCUGUAGAUAAAUGUUCAGAUUAAGAGUGAUUUUGAUUUGUUUCUAUAUCAACAUUACUUUUUGUGUUCCUUAAGGAAUAACAAGUUACAUCUUUAGCUGCAAAUAGCAAAGAACUUUCUAAAGACAGUAGUUAUUUUUAACAGUAGUUAAUAGCUUGUGACUUUAUUCACAUUUUCCACAAAUUCUUACUGAGAGGAUUUGUUACAGUAGAAAAAAGUUACAGCUCUGUAGCAGGAAAUUUGUUUGAAGCCUAUUUUCAAAUGGCUAUUUGAACCCGUCAUAUAUUUAUACUUUUAAAAGCACAUAACCCAAUUUUCUUUUCUCUAACAUAUGACCUUUGUUUCUUUAUGAUGAAGACACCAUGAAAGAGCUUUUGCUAUUCUAUUUUGAAGGCUUUCAUUCUCUGCCAUUGUUAAACCAUAAAAAUAUCAGUAAUGUCAUAUAAGUUUUGUGAAAAGAUUCAUUUAAGGUACUUUUACCUCCAUUCAGAUCUUUGUUGAUUAAAACUGAAAGAGAGAACAUGCGAUGUCAUUAGAAAUUUGCAUACACUAUUUUCCAACUAAGUGAUCAGAGGUGCUAAAAAGAAACUAUCACACAAGCUGGUUGAUGGCAUGAUGGCACAGUGGCAUGAUCACAUAAGAAUCAUGCAUGCCUGUCUUGGAUGAAUUGACCUUUUAUUUCCACAAAAUUUUGAAAAAAGCUAUAUGCUUCCUAAAUGAGUUCUUUGAAAGAGUCAGCAAUUGUGUGGAGAAAGUUUCACAUCUAAUAUUAUAUUCUUGGAUUUCCAAAACUCUUAUGAUGGAUUUUAGAGAAACUAAACUGUCAUGCAGAAAAAUACUUUUGCAGAUACGUACAUAAUUGAAGAAUAUGUAACAAAUAGGAAUAAAUCCUUAUUCCUCAAGGAGAUUGUCAGAGUCACAUAUGGGGCCGUCUUACAUUCCUAAACAUUCUGCAAAACAGGUUGAAUAAUGAGAUGAAAAAGCAAGCAAACUAUACAAGAUUGACCUCACUGUUUAAAACUAAAACUGACCACAGUGCUCCCCAUGUAAGCAUUUCAUAAUGUUGAGUGAUAAAAUGAAAAAUAAAAUUCAUAGCCAGUAAUUGUCAUAAUGCAUGUGGUAAAAAUAAGCUCAACUAUACCUACAAAUGCUGAACUCCGAAUGUAAUUCUAUCAGAUGGGAUAUGGAAGUUUUACGUUUUUUAAUGUACAUAUAUUUAUGGUCUCCAACUCAAUGCUUAGUCAAAAGAAAAUCUGAAUGCCAGGAAAAAUUGAGAAGAUAAUUGAAAAUAGAAGAGGAACUCAUUAUAUUGCUGAUGCAAACUGCUGUUAAUUAUCAUGCCUUGUUCUGGUGAUUCCACCUCAAAACAAAUAAAUAAAUAAAAUAAAUAAAUAAAAUAAAUAAAUAAAUAAAAAGGUACAGUAGAACAAGAAAUGAAAUGAUACAAAAGACAACAAGGGGAACGGGAGCAGAGAAAAUACAAAAGCAGACCAUAAAUGCUAUAAAACUUAGCCUAGAACAUAGAAAAUGAAAGAAAUGUGUGACAGAAACAUAACAAAUAAGAUAACUAUUGUACAUUUUUUCUGUACUUCUCAUAAUACUGUAACAGGAGAAAAUUAAAUGAAAUCAUCAGAUACCAAAUUAAGAUCAGAGAGGAGGAGUACAUUUUUCACCUUCUGUAUGAAAAGCUGGAGAACUUCCUGCCUAUGGAUAUUUUGCCAUUGGUACAAAUGGAAAGGUACAAAUGGAAAGAUGAAGCAGAUGAAUAUAAGCCUACUGAUGGCUAUGAAAUGCCUUUAUGAAAUGUAGCCUCUACAAGACUCAUGGGGCAGAGUUUGUACCCUGCAGAAAUCCAGAGUUUUUCUUUCCUUAUCCUCUUUCUUAAAUCAGCUAUGAUAACAGAUGACAAAGAAAACAUAUAAGUCUGGAGGAGCCCUUUGCCUGAAUCUGUUCACUCACACUAACAGAGAAGGACAAGUGUUAAUUUCUCUAUCCUGUCUCCUCUGGAGCCUUCUAUGCCCUAAGGGCAUACAUAAAAAUGGAGAAAUUCUUCCUGCUUUUUAAUAGGCAUGGUAAAAGAGAGUUGCUGGAAUUUUCCCCUGUAAACUAUGACACAUUCAAAGUCAAUCGAACCCUGUAAGUUCUCCCUGAUAGGAUCUAAUGGGAAUAAAAUUUCAAAAUUAGAUGUCGAGUGGCCAGUAUGCUCAAUGCUACAUAUCUUACCUUUAUGACUACUAAGACAUAUUCACAAUUCACAGGACUUCCUGAAUAAAGUUCUUUGCCUUUCAGAGGGCCAUGCCGAUAGCUAAUUUAAAAUCAACUCUGAAUUUUUUAGCAAUUUGUUUGACUUCAGAAGUAUCUUCAGAGACAUGUGAUGUAACACUAUAUAUAGUUCUUUCUAAUCUUAUUUUUUAAAUAACCAACUUGAAUUCAAGCGUUUGUUGAAAGGAAAGACUGUUCUCUGCUAUUGUAAGAAGGAUGUCAUUGUCAAGUAAUAGGGGUCAGCUCUAACCAUUAGUACACAUUUCAAAUGUUAUCAAAAAUAGGAGUUCUAAUGACAGAAUUAUGACAGAAUUGGGUCUUUUAACAAAACUUGCUGAAGAAUUUUGCAGAUUUGUCUUAAAAUACAUCAUAAAUGUGUAAAGUAUGAGACAGUAUCCUUAAAGAUUUUCAGAAUUUUACCUUAGUUUAUCUAACAAACUUUAUAUAACAGUUAAAAAUCUAAUCUGAUCAAUAGGCAGUGGAAAAAAGUCAGUGUAGACAAAGACCAAUAAGAUACAGGAAGAGUGAACACAGUGAUUUCAGAACUGUAGCUGCAGAUGUUUAACAGUACCAGUAAAAAUGUCAUCUCCUCAUAAUGCAUCUGAGUGCUUACCUAAACAUUGUCAAUGCAAUGAACUAAUGCACCUGCUAAGGUAAUAUCUGCACUAAUAAAUGAUAUAAAGUAGCUGGGAAGGCAAAUGAUAUGUUGAUAGCUGCAGCUUUUGCUAGUGAGUUAGAAUUGAGUCUCUCAGCUCCUCUGAGCACUACAGACACACUGCGCAGUGUCACGCUUGUGACUAUAAAAGUAGUACCAUAUUGGAAAGCUAGGCAGAAAAGGUCUACACGUUCUUAUUUGAAGAAGGAGAGCAACUUUUACUUUAGAUAUUACAGAUACAUCCAACUUUCCAUUGAACUUUUCAUAUUUGAAGGGGGCUAUCACCAAAAAUAUUGACAUUCCAAAGUGCUGAGCUCUGCGGAUUUCCACAUCUGACUAUGGAAGCUGAAGAACUGUGAGAAUCAGAUUUACAUUUACUUGUCUAAGAGCAGUCAUUUUCACACCUCUGGUGAAAUAUGGUUUCAGUGAAAUCAGGGACAUGUAUCACUUUUGGCUCAAAGUGACCAGGAUUCUUCAGCAAGAGAAAAAGUCUUUUGGUCCCCAGGUCCUCAUCCAGCACUACUUAAACUUUUCACCCCUGCGUUCAUUCUCACUUUUUAAAAGUUUUUUAUUUUUAAUGUUAUUAUAGACAAUUAUAAAAUUUGAUCAUACUGAGGCAAAUAAGCUUUAGUUAAGUAAUAAUGCAGAACGGCACAUCCACGUUUUAUAGACACUGGUCAGCUCCCUGUUGCAUUAAAGAAUUGAUUCAUAUUUGAAGGAAAAUAAUUUAAAUUCAUAUAUGACUUUUUCUGUAUCUGUCUGUAGCAUUCUUCUAUUUUAUGGCAGUAGAUAUUCUCCUGGAUGUCAUGCUUUGGAUUUUUCGUACCUGACUCAAAGUACUUGUUUAUUCUUAGUUAAAUAUUUAAGUAAGAAUAACCUUCCCGAAUAUUACUUAUAAUAGUAACAUUUAAAGUUUACAUACCAGUCCUCCAAAGGUUGCUUUAAAUGACAUUUUGUCAACUGGCCAUUAUCUCCGAGUCCGCACUGCAGACCUUUAAAAGUGCUCAAAAAUAAAUUACAUAGCAUACAUUUUUUUAACCAAUAUUAUCUGUGGUGAUUAUUUCUUUGAAUCUAAGAGUAGUGGUUUUCUUCCAGAAAAAUAAAAAUUCCAAAAGUUUCUAAGUUAGAAAAUGGUAUUAGAAGUUAAAUGGUAAAUUUAUUGGAAAAGCUUCUUUGAAAAUGUUAUGGAACAUCUUAGAAGUAUAUGAUAGAGAAUUUUCAGUAAAUCCUCUACAGUUAUCAGUUACUAUUUGAUAUUUUGUUUGGUAUGUGAAUAAAACAGUGGAGAACUGAAAAAGUGGGAAAUGAAACAGAGUAAGUUUGGUUGCAUUUUAUUAUUCUAAAGAGAUGCAAAUUCUAUGACUAGUACCUUCAGAAGACAACAGGAUGUCAUUAGCUCUACAUCAAAUGUAAUUUCAUUCUAACACAAUUUUAAAGUGAAAAAGAAUAUUUUCCUAACUGCUGUACAGAAGAACUACUCUACCUCCAUCAAGAUCCUUUCUGAUGUAUGUACUAUUAUCUACCAUGAUAAAAGUGAACAACUAAUUCUGGGAACAAACAAACUACAAUUUUGUGCAUGAAUUAGCUGAAACAGGAUAUGGAUAAAGCCCAGAUCAAUUAACCUCAAAUAUAAUCACACAUCUGUGUUCAAAACAGGCAUCCUCAGCUCCUCUUCCUCUCACCUGACUCAUAGGGCAGCUGUAGGCAGCAGGCAUUUCAGUGUCAAAGUUCCCCAGCUGAUUAAAUCCCGGGACUGGGGACAUCAACAGUCAUUACACAGCACAGCUGAACAGCUAGGCACCUAAAUUUAAGUUAUUCCUAACUGAAUACUACAUGGAACAUCCUUGUCAGUCAGUCCCUCAACCAAUAAUGUCUCCUAGCUCAUCUAUAGAAGUAAGUUCUGCACAAGUAUCAUAAGUUUUCUUUACAAUACUUGCCUGAAAAGAAAAAUAAUAAUACCCUAAGAGUUUAAAUGUAAUGGAAAGAUUUAUGAACCAGUCCCAGGCUCCUGACAGUGCCUGUUUCUUUCUUCCUAGUGUAGAGACAACUAAAUGUAAAAUGCAUGAGUAAUCCUGAAAUGGAGAAUGGGAGACUAUUUGUUGUGAAGGACAGAUCUCCUCACAGAGUUUUAGAGUCACUGCACUGAAGUUCUUUACAUCUGCUGCAAUACAGCAACCUGGUUUUUAGAAAAUGAGUGGAGUAUGCCACCCACCAUCCAGUCCUGUUGAAAACCUGAUGGUACAUUUCCAUGAUUUGGGGUUUGAAUUUUCUUGCACAGAAAAAAAUCAGAAAUGCAGGCUUUCUAGUUUCUAGGAAAACAGCAGCAUGUGCUACUGGACAGAAGAACAAAAGAAAAAAAAAAAAGAAAAUGAAGAAGUAAAAAGGAAAGAAGGAAAUAUCAAUCAAUUAGGAAUCAAAGAAUAGAAGUUAUCACUAUUGUGACUUUUGAUCUGAACUCAAAUCUGUAAAUGUCUGUUGUCCACUGACAAUGUCUCCUGGAUUGAUCCCCGUGAGAUUUAGGCAGGACAGCUUGUUCCUUAGCACAGUGAGGACACACUCUGCUGAAAGGAGAUUUCCUACCAUGGAGAUGAAGUGGCUGCUGAACAGUGUCUUUGUAGGAGUCCACGUUUCUGUCUGGGAUGUCAGGAGAUGGCAAGCUCUCCCUUGCAGGCACUGUGGCUAGUCCCUGCAUGUGCAGUAAGCUCACUUCACUGGGGUUCCUAGAGCUUACUGGUCCGAUGUGUAUGAAUAAAUGUAAUAGAACCAGGAAAUGUUCCUAGCCCUAAAACUUGAACAUUUAUGUUGUUAAAUCAUUAGACUAGCUCUGUGUGCAAUUUUUGCUCAUGCUAAAUAGCAUUCUCACAUAUAAAAAUGACUCAGAAGCAAGCAUUCCCAUAAAUAUUUUAUAGGAGGCAUUCUGAUCUGUAGAAGGAGGGAGUUUAGGAGCAGGAAAAGGGACAUUUCCCCCUGAUGUCCUGGAGAACAAUCCUGAGCACAUCCAUAUUAGCUGCUCUGGAAGCAGCCAUUGUGCAGCAUGUGUCUGUAAUACACCUGUAGAUUCCUUGAGCAGAGGGCUCCAGGUGAAGGCAUCUGGAGUGGCUCUAGCCAGACACUGUAUGUCCUGUACUCCCAAGCCACACCUCAGCAGAGGAGCACAUCUGAGACCUCUGGUUUCACAGCUGCCAGGUGGGAAGCAACAAAGCUACCUGUACCACAGGAACUCUUAAAAUUCCAGGUGUCUUCCUCAAAAUCCCCCUCAUCAGUUUCUGUUAGAAAGAGAUUGUUAGAAAUUUAGGUCUACAGUAGCAUCUCCCUCACAUUGUUUUUGUUUAAUCUGUAUUAAUGACUUAUAUAUUAAAGCCCACCUUAUCCUGUUUGAAUAUUUCAGUUAGUACUUGGCUGCAGCCUCUUGCUGCUCCUUGUGGUUGUGUUGGCUCAGCAGUGUUAGCAGGAGAAGAAAGCAAUAAAAGUUUGUUUUUGUUUUAAACAGUGUAAGCCAAUCUACCCCAGAAUACACACAGAGAGUUGUUACGCUGUUUAACAAGGUGCCAUUUUUACGUGGUCACUUUCUUAAUAAUAACUGCAUUGUGCUGAUAGAUGUGCCAACUAACAUAAGUUUUCCUUCCUCCAACUAAAGAUCACACUGUGACAACUUUCUCUGCCAGAAAAUGGGAUUAUUUAUAUCUAGUAAAAACUUCUAUGAACUAGUUAGUGUUGCCAAGCGCAUACUCUUUUGCUGCAGAUGGCUAUGGUAGGGCAGAAUUACUCUUUUUAAAGUUACUUCUAUGCUUGAAAAUGUAUGUUGACAAGAAAAAGCAAAUUAGAAAUAAGCCACAAAAGUAGUUUCAAUGCUGCGGUCAUGCAAUUCAUCAGGAAAAUAUAAGGGCUUAUUGAGACUUACAUGAGUGAUUCUGCUACAGAAGUAGAGUGCUCAUUUCAUUAAAAACAAAAUCAAAAACAUGAACACUACUAUUAAAAGGGAUCAGCAUUUUAAAACUGUGAGAUCUAAGACUAAUGCACAGUGAUUGACAGCCUAUUGAAUACUCCUCUGUUGCUGGUAGUGACUGAUUGACUGAUUCCCUGCUCACGUAUUUGAAGAAAACUGCAUUCCUGUUUGAACUAGCAGAAAGAAACAAAACAUUAUUAUUGAAAGAUCUGUUCCUGCUGCAAGAAAGUGUCAACACAGAUAUCCAGUGUAUGUGCCUGUACCAGAUUUGUCCAAAUUGGAAAAUCUGUUUGGGAGGGGAGGAGAAAGAAGAGUUUGAAAAACAAAUGGGAGUGUGAUGGUAGAACUCACCUAGUACCAGCAUUAGGGCACACAAAUGCCACUUCUUCAAGGACAGAGGAAACUUGCAGGGCUGAGGAAUGCCAGUUCCUGUCACCAACAGCAAAUAAGGCAAGCAUUAUAUCCAACUGCUUUUAUUUCCCUGACUGAAAUGACCAGAACUUCAUUUGUAACAGGGGGAACCUGCAGCGGGAAUCCAGGGUAAGGUGUAAGCUUGGGGCUCUAGUUUUGCAUACAGCAAGAACUCUUCAUUGUUCUGUUCUUUUUAGUGACAUGGAGGAAAGAUGACUGCAAAGACUAGGUGAUGUACUUGUCAUAAUGUAGGUGAUAGUAAAAUGGAAGUAACCAUCGUAUAUAGAAUUAAUUACAAAUAUUGGGAAUUUUGUGCGAUUCUUCUCUUAAACUGCACCUGUUUUGUACUGUAGCUGCUUCUCUGACAGUAGAAACUCUACAGGAAAUGUAGCUAAAUGAGUGAAACUUGUUUAUGGAAGUGAUAUCGUCUUUAGUAAAAGGACUUUUAAAAUUCUGUUACUAAUGAAGAUACCUGAUAGACAUUUCUGAAGGAAAAUAAAUGAGGUUCAGAACUGGACUUUCCUGGGAGGCAAUCAAAGGGGUUAUGGGGCAUCCAUCAUUGAAGGGUUCUUAAAAAAACUUGAGGAUCUCCAAAUUCAGCUAGACAGAAUCUAGAUCUAUCUUUGACAAUAGCUCUACUGCAAUUAGGCUGUUGUAACAUACUUUAUCUAAAGACUUUAAUAACUGAAUAGCUAAUGCACAUGAUAUUCUUUUUAUGUGUUUUUUUCAGAGACCCUGAAGCUUGAAAUAAGACCUUGGAAUGUCUCAAUAAAUAAGUGCUGAUCAGAACUGAUUUCUCUGUAGGUGAAUAGCAGCAGUAGUUUCCUCAUGUUAUUGACUAUUCAUAGUAAGCACUCAGCCUGAUCAUUGCCCGUAGGGACUAUCAAAGAGUUUCAAUAACAAAAAUAUAUUGUGCCUCCCUGUUUCUGUUGUUUUGAUUCUGCUUAUAAUAGCAUUUUGUUUAACUGUUUUUUGUAGCUUGUCCAUCUCAGCUGAUCUUUUACAUGCUGUACAAUAUCAUUUUCUCUUUGAAAUCCUUGAUCAGUUUCACUUAUCUUCUGACAUCACAUUCAGGCUGCUUACAGCUACUCUCACACUAUACCAUCCAUACUUAUCUCUUAUUUCCUCCCCUUCUUUUCAGUGCUUUUCACUAUCCCAAAGGCAUUUUUUUUUCUUUCCCUACUACUGCUUCAGUUAUAAAUAAGCAGAAAUGUUAAUUAUUCAUUUUAUGCUUCUUCCUUCUUUUACAAUGCAUUUCAUGCCUCUAUUUUUUUCCUCUCAUCAUAUGGAUGAGUUCUUUAGGGAAGAAUUUACUUUGAGAAAUAUUGUAUUCAAUUUGUGACUCAAGGUUAAUUCAUUUGCAGCCAUAAGGAUAGCAAUAACCAUUACAUCACCCUUUCUGUCUGCAGUUCUUACUGAAAUAUAUUCCAUUGUUCACUGGUAGCUAGAAAUUUUCCCUAUACCUGUGUUCCACAUGUAUCUCCCUUGAAAUAUUUUUAUGUAAUUCUGAAAAUUCAUUACCUUUAUGCUUACCUUAACAACAACUGUUUAGUCAACUAUAUUUAGACCCGAAUGCUAUAUUUAAGACAAAAAACAAAAACAAAAACAACCAAAAAAAAAAAUCUGUACUAUUUGGAAAUUUCACUUUAAUCAAAUAUUUUCAAUAUAAAUGUAACUUCUUAUUUUAGGCUUCAUGCAUUCUGGUGAAUGUAUUACUUUGCCACAACUUUUAGAUAAAUACAGUUCACACUGAUGAUGUUCUGUAAGUUUUAGUAAUUAUUUCAGCAUUAUUAGCUCGCCAUUCUAUUUUGUCUGUUCUUGAAUUUUAAGGGAGUAGAAUAUACAGUACACUUAAACUACUGGGGAGCCAUACUAAAAAAAUAUAAACAUUUAAGAACAAAAUCCACUUCAGUUUUAACAGUAUUCCUGUAUCUGCCAAUUGUUUACUGAUUGCUUGAAUCACACCAAAAUUAAUCAACCAGUUCUCCUUCAGCUCAAAGCUUUUGGUUCUCUAAAAACCACCAUUGCUUUCAGAAUAAUAAGCUCUCCAAUAAGCUGUGAGCCAUCAAUUUAUUGCACAUCAAAAGAAGGCUAUAGACUCUAGCUUUUGCUUUAGGCAGUUUCAUGUCUCUGUAUAACUCCAGUAGGUUUUUCUUAUUCCAAACAUAGGCUUGCCUCUUCUGGAGGAGGCAUUUUUCUGGGGCCUUCCAAAUACACAGUUACCCAGUUAAUUUCAUCUGGAUAUACUUCCACUGCUACAAUCAGCUAUGUUGUGUAAAUAAAUUUUUAACUACUCAUUCAGUUUUAUUAACAAGAACCCUUUGAAGGUGUUUUAAUGUUCAUCUAAGCAGACGGUUUUCUCUUGGACAAAGCAAGAGCUGAUCUGAUGUUAUCAUCAGUUGUGCAUAACCAUCUUUUCCCAUUUUCCUUUCAUCAUGCAUUCCAAGGAAUCCAAAUCCUUUCUGCAUCUUUCCAACACUAAGUGGGAAAAUGCAUUCAGAGACAGAUGGGCUUCUCUAUCAACAUGGACUUCUUAUAUCAUCUCAGCUGCAAGCUGUUCAACCCACUUUCCAGUAAGACCAUUAGACCUCUCAGCUGGCACCACUUUCACUUAUCUUCUACAUCCUCUACUCCUGCUCCAGUGUCUCUGGUCUAUUAUUUAAUUUGGCAGACAAGCACACUCGACUGGCCCAGAUACAUUUUCUGGCCUCGCAAGCUUUGUUGGCUGCCAGAAUAUGAGUAUAUCCCUCAGCAACGGAAAUAAGAAGGACUUGCUGUUUAAUGUAUCUCAUUCAUUAACUCACUGAGAAAAGUUUUCUUAUUUCUUUCUUAAAUAGCAAACUGUGACUCACUGACAUGUUCUGUGUCCUAAAAUAACACUCAUUUCUUCUUUUAAAAAGCUGACCUAAGAGAUUAAGGCACAGUGCUUGACAGCACCUUAGGAAGUGGCAGCUCCCAAGAAAAAGAAGGCUUUACUAGAAUAAUGAAGCAAAAACUUUAUCAGCAAUUCCAAGAAUGGCACAUUGCAGUAUUUUUUUAUUAUAGUUGUUUUAUGAGUUUUGACUACAUGUUAUUUUGCAGACAUACAAUGAUCAAAAUGUCAUUUCCUGUAUUUCCUACCAAGCUUCCAUGCAAAAUUGGUCAAAUCUGACUAUAACUCAGUAAAGGAGAGAAUUAAGUUGAAGAUCUUUCACUAACAAGUGAAAUCUAUAUCUUUUCAAUCAGCUUAAAUAGUAAGCUAUACUAAAUUUUGUAUCAGAACUACUUGUGUUGCAAGUACCUAAUGUAAAUAUAAAAUUUCCUUUAAAGUUUUCAAUAAUAAUAGUAAUAAUAAUAAUAUAUAACAACAUAACUUGAUAAUGUUAUAUUCACAGCUAUGUUCUCAUACCACAUAGAGCUACAAAAUAAAAAAUAACAGCAAGCAUUAAUUCAUGCAUGAUAUUUUGCUCUUGUAGAGAUACUUUGUGUAUAGAUUUCACCUAAAUAUUUUUUUACUUGAAUUUUUAACACUGGGAAUUAUUUAAAAAAUCAGUUGAGCAGACUGCUUCAUGUACAGUGUUUACUAAAUUGCUCCUAUUUUAUUAUGUUUGUGCUGUGUAAAACCAAUAUAUUAGAAACAUAGUAAAGGCAAUUUAAACCUGACAGUAUGUUAUUUAAGCUGAGCUAGAUGUCUCCACCAAGUUCUAAUACCAUAGUAUCUGAAUAUUGAAACAUAUAUUUAUAUAAACAUAUAUUUAUGAAACAUCUUUUGAUUCUGAAUUGUGUUAAUGGCUUAAUAAUGCCUAGAGAGUGGUUUAGCCCAGUAAGCCAGAUAGUCAGCAAUCUGUCUUCACUAUUCUAAUUCAUUGCAAGCUCUUCCCACUGUCACGUAUGAAGAUUAAAUCAGUUUUCCCUGGUUUAAUGUCCAGUGAAUAAGGUUUUCCCUACAAACUCAUUUGCCACUAGGUGCCACUAAAGGUCAAAAAGGCUGCAGAGGAGUCAGAGAGCUGGCAAUAGACAGUAUUGUACUCACAGUCAUUUUCCUUAUUGUCCAAAAGAUGCACAUCUCUACAGCAAAGGCAAGUAGCAGUCACAUAAUGUUGCACUUGGCUAUUAAGUGAACGAACUUGACCACAUCAUCAAAUGCCUAAUAAGAAAUGCCACAAUCUCUGGAGAUUAUUUAAUGAGUUAAUACAUUCCUCUAGGUUACACAAAAAUGAAUUAAGAAAAAUGUAUUGGGGAAAUAUUGUGGGAUCAUAGCUUCUGAAGAAAACUCUGUUGGAUUGUAAACUAACACAAGUAAGGUGCAACUGAGACAGCAGCUGACUCUUCUGCAGUAUGUUUCAGGCAACAGGUAAAAAUAUAUGCGAAAGGUGAAUAUGUAAAAAUUCUUAGCAUAAUAAGGUAUUGUACAGUUACAAGGAGAUGCUCUGAUAUGGGUCCCUAACUGGGCUAGGAAAAGCUUCUGGCUUUGAGGUGAAUGGGAGGUGAAAGAAGUUAAGAAUGGAAUCACUUUGCGUGCUAGGUUUCCUUUGUUCCCCAGUGCUCCUGCCUCUUCACUCUUUAUUUUGAUUGGAAACAUUUACACUCUCUUAAAUCUGGAUUGUAGGUAGCACUCCUAACCUUUGUGCAGAGAGUGGUAUCAUCUCCUUUGUCCAAGGAGACCUCAGCAGGUCAUUCCGUUCAUGAGGUACAAUCCCAUCAGUAAAACUUCCUUCUGUGACAUUCUUCAGAAAUAAAUGUCUGAUUCCUUCUGGUAUGUCUGAAGCUUCACAAAGAGCUUUGGCUGGGUAUGGGCAUAUUGCCAUUCCCCAGAGACAGUUUGAGCCUCCCUCCAUGAAAAGAAUCGUUGGUCAGUGUUUUUUUCUGUGCCUAAGCUUUUGUUUUUCCUUGACCUGUACCUGGAGUAUUCUUCUGGGAAAUUAUUUCUUCCUGGAAUUUGACAUUUUUUCGUAGCCUAAGAUAACUCAGAAGUGAAUAUGAUGAAUGUUAAUAUCAUCAGUGAUCUUUUAUACUUUAAAGCUUAUAAAUAAUUUGGGGUGAUUUGCACACAUGGGUACUAGGCAGAAGUUAGAAUUCUGGCAAAUGUUUAUCAAGUAUUUGUGUAUAUUUUGAACCAGCCUAAGAAUGUCUAGGUACCAUGAGAUCCUUUCAAUUGGACUGGCUUAAGUACAGUAUUUAUUUAGGAUAUAUUAUUUAUGAAGUACAAAAAUGUGUGUUUGCUAAUAUUUUUCCAUAUGGAUAAGGAAUUAUUGCAAAGCAGUAUUCAGUAUUACUAGGUUUAACUUUACUCAUUGGUUCACAUUUUAGUGAAAAAGACUCGCCAUCAUAAAAAAUACAAUUGAUGUCAGUUGUCAUGUCUGGUGCAUGCUGGCUUGACAAAUAGUUUAAAUAUAGAGCAAACCAACCACUUCAUUUUAGUGAUGUGGAAAAAGGGAUUCAUAGGGAUAUACUUAGUGUUAUUUGUGUCAGGCUCAAAUAUGCAGGUUAUUUCCUCAAUUUCCUGGGCAAUGGCAGUAGUCUUAUGACUUGCUUGAAUAACCUCUCUGUGUAAGUCCAAGAAGCAACAGAUCAAAUAUGAAUGGGUCUGUAGUUUACAGCAAUGGCAGACUUUCUUUUAUAGGCUGGCAGAAGUUACAGCACUGUGGCAACGCACUGCACUCCUGUAAACUUCCUGUCUGCACAUUGAUUCAUGCAGACCAUUCUGCCUCCCUAUCCUUUAGGAGAUGAUACCCUGGAACUGCUGGUCAUGCAGAGACUGUGAAAACUUUGUUUUGCGUUCUGAGAGAACCCGCUGUUAUGACUUAAAUUGAAGAGGUGGGAAUACACUUCUCAAGGAGGCACCCGGAUCAUCACUCACAUUUCAGCACGCGUAGGAAGAAGUGGAGGAAACAGUUACCAGAGAUAUCUGAGUAAUGGUGUUAACCACACAGACUAAAGUGGUUGAAAGAAAGUUUCAGCACAUCCAGAACUGGAAAGUGAGCUGCAGCAGGGAACAUCAGCAAGGAUCAAAUAUUUCAAACAGAAGAUGCCUUCUUUACUGUUUGUUCUUUUUCUUUAAUAAAAGAUAUAUGGUUGUUCCGAAUGUGAAUGAUAUGUAUAGCAGAUGAAUCCAGCACAGUUUGUUACUGAGUAUGUGAGGAACGUGUUACCUUGGGAAAACAGAACUAAACAGUAGAAGUUAAUUGAGAUUUAGGUACAAUGAUUAAUAAUUAUUUUCCAUUUUGUGUUGUCUCCUGUCUUACUUUUAAGUUUGCGCAUAUUUUAAAGAUUGGAAUUUUAAAACUGCAAAAGCCAUUCUUGUUUCAGGGAAAAAGAGGAGAGAAAGCAUCUUUUCCAUCCGCGUAAGCAGGCCUAGACACAAAUUGUCUUCAUGAACAGAUUAGUUUUUUAAUACAACACAUUAUACAUAACAAGGACUAUUUGGAGCUUUUACAGCAUUUGACCUUGUUGCAUGUAGCGCAGAUAUCAAGAACACACCUGUUGUUUAUGUCUGUUCAACAAUAUUACUUGGCUGUGGCAAACAGAAGAAUAAAUCCAGCUAUGCCAAUUUCCUGUUCAGAUUCAACACCUAAUAGACAUCUUUUUCAUCUUUGCUGAGAGAAAGAGGUAUGCACUUCUUUCGCUUCUUGUCAUGUCUCUCCAUUCUCUAAUGGAGACACAAGCAUGGUGAUGCACAGCUGAGUAAGUGCUCCUGGCAUGUCUAACAAGUUUUACUAAGUGUUUCUGCAAAGGCUGCCACUGCAGACCCAAACAUUAGCUGUAUGUAUGGUGCAGUGCAGUCACAUGUGAUCACCAUUAGAAUUUCUUCAGCUGCAGAUCUUUUGGUGUAUUGUGCAACCACUAACAUAUCACAGAGCCAAAUCAGGUGGACACUCUAUUUCUGUUUGUAUCUGCAUUACUAAUGCAGCACAGCAUAGGCAGGGAUUUUGGGGCCGCAUUUCAAGCCAUGUAUUUUCUGCCCCGAGUCAGAUACCAAAGAUGAGAGUGGAACAGAGUGGAAAAAUGUCUUCUGUGUUGCAGCUUCUGCAGAUUCCCCCUCUUGGUGCAUAACAGUUAUCUCAAUUUGAUGAGCUGACAUCAUCACUCAGUUAACUAAAUGUGGCUCAAAGAGUGUUGACUUAAGGAAGUGUGAAACCUGUAAGGAACAUGCCAGAGCCCUCCAACUUCAGGUCAAGAAAAUAAGGGUUCUCACAACCUAAGAAAUAUAUUACUGUUUCUCACAGUGAUCUUUUCAUACACUAAUACAUUCCUUCCAUGUGAAGCUGUAUAAAUAGUUAACAGUGUCUUUUACUAGGUUAAAGGACCUUGUGUGCUCUUUUUUUUCCAAGUGUAGUGGGUUCAUACCUCCAUGGCAGAGGAUUCAAAAGAAAUUUUAUCUGAAACUGCAAAAUAGUGCCUAAGGUGGUAAUGCCUUAUAUGUCUCAAUAAUUAUUAAUUAUUAACUAUUAAUGCCUCAAUAGUUAUCUGAAGUUAGCAGAGGUAAAAUAUCUCAUAAAAAAAGAAAGAAAGAAAGAAAGAAAGAAAGAAAGAAAGAAAGAAAGAAAGAAAGAAAGAAAGAAAGAAAGAAAGAAAGAAAGAAAGAAAGAAUAAACUAUCUUAUAUCUUUGCAAAGAUAAAAUAAUCCACACUGACGCUUUUAUUUAGUUUUCAUGAUUAUAGCAAAGUCAUGAGUUGAUCUUUUUAUUAUGGUUGUCCUACAACUCUUGUCAAAAGUCCACAGGCGUGCAGUGAGAGUGACCUGCAGUCUAAAGAAAAACACCUAUGCAGAAGUACUGGAGGAAUUACUUUUCUUUUGCCUACAGAGAUAACUGAGUUGAAGGAGAAAGACAGACUAAACUAAACCUUCAUACUUUUUAAAAGAAACUGCCAAAGAAGAGUAUAAACUACUUUCUGUGCUCAAUGAGAACAAAACUAGACAUUAUAAGCACAAGCUGGUGCAAGAAAGACUUACAUUAGACAUUACAGAAAAGAACAUUAACUGUCUAAUGUUUGCUUAUUACAAUAGAUUGUCCUGGGAUUGUGGAAUUACUAUCAAUGCUUGGAUUUAGGAAACACUAAGAUCAUCAUCUUUCAGGAAUAGUUCAGAGACAGUUGAUGUUUUCUUCUUGUAUAUGGACAAACUGCAUGACUUGCAAUGUUAUGUCUAGCCUUGGUUUUUAUAAUUCUCCAAUUGGUUUGGUCAGAAGUUGCUGAAACCAGCACAGCAAACAGAUCUAUCCUAGUUUCCCCUUGCUCUGUCUUGUUAUAUAAAAGGCUCACCUGAACCAUAACCUUCAAAUCAGAGUUCUCUUUAAACACCAUAGAUGAACAUUUUAAAGGUCAUUCUAAUGUAUAUAUGAUUUGUGCAUACUGAUCCUAUGUACUUUUGUAACAACUGGGUUAUUUGGUCAUAACUGUAAAAUCUUACUUUUUUGUGCUGUAAAUAUAUUUAUAUAUGUGUGUUUUUGAAUAUUUAUCUAUAUAUAUGUACAUAGGAAUUUCUUGCAUUGUCUCACAAAAAAGAGAAUGGAUCUGCAGGCAGGCUAAGCUCAUUGUGAGUGCUGCUGAUUGCUUGUGAGGACCAUAUGAGCAGCCAAGGUGAUAUUUGUCUCCUCAAAUGUAGGCAUCUGUCUUGUAAGUGUAUGCAUCGGAGUCAUUCAUUCUAGACUUCCAUUACAAACAAUGGAGAUUAAUAGGAACAUCCAGAGCACAGUUCACCUCAUUCAUCUCAUGUUUCUGUAUGUGUCUAAAGUGGUCAGAUUAAUUCUGCAUCAUUUCUCCCUGUUGACUUCAAAGGGAACCUAGGUGACUAGACCAAUAUAGCCAUCUUUUUUUUGUUUAAAGCUGGUGAGAUGAUUCUUACCUUGCACUAAGUCUCUACAUCUCUAUACGGGAUUAAAUGCUACUUGUUAUGCUGUUCUCCUUACCAACAUUUUUUGAACAUUGAACACAAAAAGGCUCUUAGUAUACUUUUUGCACUGUGAUUCAAACUCUACAGGGCUUGUUUGCAUCUAGUGUAUUUGGCCAUCUACAUGGUCCCAAAUAAUAUUACCUUAAUCAAAAUCUAUGAGGGAAGAUGAUGGAUGCUUCUUCUAACUGAAAGCACUACGUUAGGACAUACGACUUUAUGACACCAAGUUGGAAGGGAGUGUUGAUCUGCUGUACAGUAGAAAGGCACUAUGAAGAGACCUGGAUAGACUGAAUUGAUGGACCAAGGCAAACCAUAUGAAUUUCAAUAUUACCAAGUGUCAAGACCUUCAUUUUUGUCACAACAAUCCUAGACAACCCUAGUUUACAGUGGCUAGAAAGCUGCCUGAUGGAAAGGGAUCUUGAUGGACAAAUGGACAGUCAGCUGAAUGUGAGUCAGCAGUGUGCCCAGGUAGCCAUGAAGGUCAAUGGCAUCCUGGCUUGUAUCAGGAAUGGUGCAGUGAACAGGACUAGGGAACUAAUCCUGCCCCUAUACUCAACACUGAUGAGGCCUCACCUUAAGUACUGUGUUCGAUUUCAGACACCUCAGUACAAAAAAGAAAUUGAGGUGCUGGAGCAGGUCCAAAGAAGGGCAACAAGACUUGUGAAGAGCUUGGAGAAUAUGCCCUACGAGGAGCAAUUCAAGGAACUGAGGCUGUUUAGUACGGGGAAAGGAGGCUGAGGGGAGACCUUACUGCUGACUUCCAAUACCUGAAAGGUGCUUACAGUGAGAGUGGGGUUGGUCUCUUCUCACUGGUGACAGGUGACAGAACAAGGGGAAAUGGCCUCAAGUUGUGCCAGGGGAGGUUUAGGUUGGAUGUCAGAAAAAACUUAUUUACAGAAGGAGUUGUUAAGCACUGGAAUGGGCUCCCCAGGGAGGUGGUUGAGUCAACACCAUCCCUGAAUGUGUUUAAAAACCAUAUGGAUGUGGUGCUCAAGGACAUGAUUUGCCAGAGGGUUGUUAGUUAGGAUAGUAUGGUUGGGUUGUGGUUGGACUUGAUGAUCUUUAAGGUUUUUCCAAUCAGAGCAAUUCUAUGAUUCUAUGAUUCCGGCCAGCCUGGUCUAGUUCCCAGGGCAGCCUGGAAUGGGGAGGUUGAUGGCCCUGCAUGUGGCAGAGGGGUUGGAGAUUCACAAUCCUUGAGGUCCCUUCCAACCCUGGCCAUUUUGUGAUUUUGUGAUUUUGUGAUUCUGUGAUUCUAUGAUUCCAUGUAGAUGUUAUGUUCAAUUGCUCUUCUUCUGCUACACACCUAAUAUUGUAAAAUGGAGCUGUGAAUGUAAUGCAGGUUGAAUCCCAGCCAGGAAAGUAAAUGGGAAGUGAAAGAACUUUGAUCAGCUUAAGCUAAUUGUUCUGUAACUGUGUGCGUACUGCAGAGCAAUGGGGCUUAGCACUCUUCAGGGGAAACCUGCAAUUUAUUUGUCUGGGAAAACAAGGGUUCAAAUCAGAUGCAUAAGUUCUGUGGGUGAUUUAUUAGAGGGUUUGAUAAAAAAAAAAAUCAUGAAACAGUCAUUUGGAAAUGAACUACUUUGAAACUGGGCUCAAAACCAUGAGUUGGUUAUGGUUUGGUAAAAUCUGUAAAAUUGUAAACCUUAAAGGAAGAUAGCUCUCAGACAAGUACCAAAGCCAUAAACAAAAAUAAAUAAACAAAUAAAUUAAAAGGUUAGAACUAUCAUAAUAUUUUUUAUUUAAAUGAUCUUGUUACAGAAUCCAAGAGAAUUCUAUUUUAACUACAAUCUGAUUUUUCUUCUUCUCUUCCUAAACUGAUUUUUUACGUGAUUUGAUCAUCUUUUCUUGUUUCCAUGGUAUUUAUUACCUACCCACUUAUUUUCUAUUCUGUGUUGAGCUCAGAAUGAAAACCUUUAGUGCUGGAGCCAGAUUACUACUUGCUGUGAAUCAGAACAGUAGUAUCAACUUCAGUGAAGCCACUGUUUAUUUAUAUUAUCCGACCUUUGAAAUUUUAUGAUGUAGAACAUUAUGAAGAAACUCUGAUAAGGAAGUCCAGUAUUUUGUUAGAUAUCUUCAUGUUUGUUUGUAUUGACUUUCAAAAUAAUUGGAUAAUAUAGGGCAAAAAAUGUGCUCUCAGAAUUCAAUCACUUAAUGUUUUAUAAAAGAGAAAAAUGGACAGGCUGGACAGCUCCAGGCUCACUGAGUAAAUGGUAAAUAAAAGAAUGUAGUGAUGUAUUCAGUUCCACAGAAUUUAAUUAUAAUUUCAACAUCUUUAUUUCUUUUCACUGAAAGGUUUAUGUCUUACAGGUUAGGUGCUACAGCUCAGCACGGGCACUAUGUAUCUGGCACCUGCACAGACACCUACCUACAUGUGUGAAAAUCUACAUUCAGUGAUUUGCACUAUUGCAGCCCACAUCAAUCAUCCCUUUUUUUAACAGCCUUCUCUUGAAGAAAAGAUAAUCUUAGAGAAUGCUUCUUUGCGACAGGCUCAAAUGGACAACUUGCCCACAAAUGCGCUUAUUUACCACUAUGUAAACUGCUUCUAAUUUGUGAUGUUGUAACAUCCCUAUGGCAACUGCAGCACAUGCUUACAUGAGGAAGUCAUUUUAGGAAAGUAUUGAAUUUAUUUUUAGCUUCUUUUAGUGAAAUCUAGCAGCUGGAAAUAAAGUGAGCCAGCACCAUUUUACUAGCCAAAGGCUUUCCAGAAGAAAGAACUACUUGUUUCAAUCAUACGAUUUCAUUAUUACUUAAUUAUUUCUUUACUGCACAGAAUAAUUUAUGCUCUUCUUAAGACAUUAAUGUCAAUGUAUAUUUUUUUCUUAGUUGAUUAAAAUCAAAAUUAUAAUUUAAAAUUUAAUGACAACACCAUCAUCAUCAUUGUAUUGUAUUUAUUACUGACCUUAAUUUCACGACUGAUUGUAGAAGCAAGUGACGUGUUUUGUCAUGAUAAAAAUUAUUUCCUUAAACAUUCAGUGAACUAACUUCAAGAGGAAAGCUAAAAAUUAAUGAUCCUGCCCCAAGAACCUAGUGGUUAAAGUACAGCUGUGAGCUAGGAAGAUUUCCUAAAGACCUCUAGCAUCCUCGUGAAAAUUCUCAUGUGAAAGCCACAUGGCAACAAUGACAGCCCAAUUUUCAUCUUUUUCAAGGCAGAUUCCAGAAUUGUGUGCAUCUCAAGUCACCUUCAUCAUGUGCUGUUUAAGUUGUCUUGGCAAUGACUGGAGUAUUACCAAGUCAUGUCCAGCAGCAUAAGGAGGUUUUGUGUCAUUUUGGAUGUUCAGCUCACUUCAAAUGUUCAAGUUAAAUGGCUUUUCCUGAAUUUAAGCACAAAUGUUCACCUUAAACAACAAAAAUGCUUUGUUGAAUACUUGCCAGCAUACUCAGAGCCUCACUUGUUAUAUAUUUGAGAUAUACUUGAAUACUGAGAAUAAAUAUACUGUUUUUUUCCUUCUCAAAGCCCCCUCUAUGUAUAGAUUCAGUGUUGUUUCAUAAUGCUCUCAGCUUCUCUUUGGCAGCUGUGCUCCAGAACAUUUUUGGCAUGAACACGCACUUAUUGGCAGUACCUCAAACUUUUAUUAGACUAUAUAUAUUAUUUCUUUUUCAAUUGUCCCAGUUUACUAUAUAAAUGUAUGUUCCUCCCAGUUUCCUUUCAGUGGAUUGUAGUCACAACACUGAACUUCUUACAUUAACAUUAGAGGAAUUUUCACACACAUACCUCAUUAGCAUUCAAAGAUCCACAGACUCAUCCAUUCCAAGUGCUUUUGCUUGUAAAGUUUUAGACAACCCUGAGAACAGCAAUUUCUUUCUCAAGUAAAUUAGCCCAGUAAACUUCUUCUCUGCCUUUGCCUACAUUCUCUAUGCUUUUCUGAAGAUAUAUACUAUGGAGGUAAAAGUGGCUUGAUUUUCACUGAUCUAUUUUUAGGCAAUUUAUUGAGAUAAAGUUUCAGUUCUGCUGACUGUGCUGGGAAGGUAGAUUUGUAAGUACUGGGAAAUAACAAAAGCAUUAAUUCACACAGAUAAAUACAUUGGAAUUUUUAAUUUCAUUUAUGUUAACAUGCUGAAUUGUCCAAUGGCAGAUGUCUUUGACUUUCUAGACACUAUAGAUAUCUCUGUGCAAUAUCAGAUUGCAGAAAUCAGUUGUGCAUCUAAUUAAACACAGAAAGUAAACUUUUUUUAAAAAAUGCAUUUUAACAGUUACCCAUCUUCCUCUUAAAUUCUGUCUGUACAUUCUAUUAUUUGCUGCAAUAUUUUUCCACGAGUUACAAAUUUGCUGACUGCAAUUUUCCCAGCUCCCCAUUUGAAAAAAAAUGGUGGUUCUGUUGGCCCUUUCCCAGUUGUCUGCACCCUCAGCUAGGCUGCACUAAAUUUUGAUUUUUAAUAUGUUUUACAUGUCUUUAUUGUUCCAGAUUUAUUGUAUUUUUUGUAUUUGUUAAUACAUAUUAAUAUCAUAUCAUUUUUAUUACAAAUUAUGUAUCUGUAUCAUGAACAGAGCAUAAUGCUAAAUAAAUCAUGCUGUUGAUCAAAUGGCAAGGCUUCCAGAUUCAAUUAUUUAUGCCUCAUAUUUUUUGAACUAAUUUGUAGACUCCUAAUGUAAUCAGCAAACUGAGAUGCAUUUUUUCUUUUUUUUCAUUUUGUCAUGUCUGAACAGCUAGUUUCCUUUUUCUUUCUUUUUGCUAAAGUCUGGAUCACUGUAAAUUUAUACUAGCUACUAUAUACGAGUCUUAUUUGUCUAGCAAUUGUUGACUUUUUAAAAAAAUCUCUAUUUAUCCAAAUUAUCCCUGUAUUCAAAGUUGAAGUAAAGUCAUUUUCUUAAUUGAACAGUCACUUUUCAACAAUACUGAGCACCAGCUCAAUAAAAACAGCAUGAAGUAAUAAUUUUUUUUUCAACAUUUAAGAGAAGAUAAUAGAUCAUAUUGUUAGAGACAGUAUUUUACUCCUGACAAAUUAGUCAUGAAUUAUUUUAAAACUCUAAAUUUAGGAGUUUAAAGUAUUUUUUUAAUACAGAAUGGUGUGGAAUAAGUAUGGGAACUCAUAAGGGGAAAAGUCUACUACAAUGCAAUAUGUACUAGGAGGAUUAGCUUUAACCUUUU